AACGAACGCUGGCGGCGUGCCUAAUACAUGCAAGUCGAGCGAGAAAGCCUCUUCGGAGGUGAGUAAAGCGGCGCACGGGUGAGUAACACGUGGGCAACCUACCCUUGAGUCUGGGAUAACCCGGGGAAACUCGGGCUAAUACCAGAUACGGCUGCGGGGUCUUCGGAUCCUGUGGAGAAAGAUGGCCUCUUCUUGAAAGCUAUCUCUCGAGGAUGGGGCCCGCGUCCUAUUAGCAGUUGGUGAGGUAACGGCUCACCAAGGCAAAGAUGGGUAGCUGGUCUGAGAGGAUGGCCAGCCACACUGGAACUGAGACAC
Molecule: ribosomal RNA, 315 nt
Filed under: uncultured bacterium
Lineage: Bacteria
Description: bacterial SSU rRNA
Rfam family: Bacterial small subunit ribosomal RNA
Source: RNAcentral